GAACGCUAGCUACAGGCUUAACACAUGCAAGUCGAGGGAACGACAUCGAAAGCUUGCUUUUGGUGGGCGUCGACCGCGCACGGGUGAGUAACGCGUAAGCAACCUGCCCUUCAGAUGGGGGACAACAGCUGGAAACGGCUGCUAAUACCGAAUACGUUCUUUUUGUCGCAUGGCAGAAAGAAGAAAGGGAGGCUCUUCGGAGCUUUCGCUGAAGGAGGGGCUUGCGUCUGAUUAGCUAGUUGGAGGGGUAACGGCCCACCAAGGCGACGAUCAGUAGCCGGUCUGAGAGGAAAGUCCCCCACAUUGGAACUGAGACACGGUCCAAACUCCUACGGGAGGCAGCAGUGAGGAAUAUUGGUCAAUGGGCGGAAGCCUGAACCAGCCAAGUAGCGUGCAGGAUGACGGCCCUAUGGGUUGUAAACUGCUUUUAUGCGGGGAUAAAGCGGGCGACGUGUCGCCCUUUGCAGGUACCGCAUGAAUAAGGACCGGCUAAUUCCGUG
Molecule: ribosomal RNA, 500 nt
Filed under: uncultured bacterium
Lineage: Bacteria
Description: bacterial SSU rRNA
Rfam family: Bacterial small subunit ribosomal RNA
Source: RNAcentral